Lonchura striata (white-rumped munia) is the source of this 2374-nucleotide non-coding RNA. NCBI's taxonomy places the organism in Eukaryota, Metazoa, Chordata, Aves, Passeriformes, Estrildidae. The record is from RefSeq and is a predicted model, not a curated record.
AGACGCGCCGCGCCCAGGCUCUGCCCGCAGCCGGGGGCUCCGGCGGGGCCGGCGCACACCGUGGGACCUCCCCGCUCCCUCCACGCCCCGCUGCGGCGGGCGAGGCUGAAUAAAGAGACGCCGAUCGUGCCCAGCAGAGAGGAGAGGGAUGGGGGUAGAGUGAGCCGUGAGAACAAUUUCGCUAAGAGAAUGAGGGUCUCCUGCCAGCACCCAAGGAUCACCGUUAGCAGCGGCUGGCAUGCAAAUUACUGGUACCCGGAAUCCCUGAAGGUUCCUGUGCGAGAGCAUCUUUCCGCUAGACAUGAAAGAAUAUCGGCAGGCGGCGGAUGCUGAGAAACCCAAAUUGCACCGCCAGCCAGACAUGCAGGGAAAAAAAAAAAAAAAUCACGUUCUUUUGGCACGUGAACAAAGCCCUCGGCAAUAACUGCGCUGGUAGGAAGGGGAGCUGGACCCGCCGCUUGCUGUCCCCACUCAGGACGGCUGGUGGGGCGCGAUGUGGGUGAUCCACGAAGCCAGUGGGAGCUCCAUCCUCGCAGGAUGGCUGAGAGAAAUCUCGCAGCGGCUCGCAAACCGAUACCGUGUCGGUAAGAGAUGGCAGCUCGGCUUUCAUCCUCAUGCCAAAGGGAAUCCUCGGCGGAUGGCACAGGAUCUACUCCAGGGGAAGCAGUCCAGCAAGAGCCGAGGAAAGCCAGGGUCCAGACUGGGUUUGAUGAAGACUCCCUCCAUGGCUUUCCAAUAGUUGUGGUGGUUGGCAGCAGGCAUGCCAUGAACUUCCCGCUGGCCUCUAAUGGGGUGGCCGUACUGCUCCCCCGUGAUGGACAGGAACACCUCAGUCCCCACGUGCUUGAAGCGCACGGCAUCCUCCCGCUCCCAGUAAGUCCCACUGCACUGCACAAUCCAGAAAUCCAGGUCAUCUCCUUCGCCAUCAUCCCCAAAGGCACUUACUUCCUGUUAGAGACACAAGCUUCCUGAAGUGAAAGUGUAAGCAAACACCUCCAGGACACACAGACAUCAACCACAGACUCAGCAGAGAUCAAAGACAAGGAUGGGGAAAGAAAUGCUGUUGUUUUGCUUUGUCAACAAUUACCUAAGCCAGAAGCAGUAAGGUUCUACCAGACAAUCUGAACACAAAGUGUCAACAAACUCCAACCUGUUCUCUGAGCAAAAAGUACUGGAAAAACUCUAAAUAAAACAAAACCCCACAAUGACAGUUGAAUAUUCUUACCUUAAUGACAAGAUACAAAGUGUCUACACUGAAAAAUGAAACCCAGACGAAGGUUUCAGAGUAAACCUUUCCCUUAAAGAAUUCUUUUGAAAUGUUAUUUUUCCAUCACUUUUAAUCAUCAGAUUAUCAAGAUACGCUACACAGAGCUGAACCUUAUUGCUUCAGCCACUUUACUCAUGGUGGAAGAAAAAUUAUUCCACAAAGAGUCACAUCGUCCAAGUUUCAAUGUAACAACCUAUCUACACAGCCUGAUGGAAGACUGACAUGACUAAUAACAAAAAUCUUCCAACAACUGCAUUAUUUACAAGAGAUCUUCCAUUCUGGAGAGGUAUUUGUUCUGGGGCUGAAUUAUGGUUAGAAAUUACACUCUUUUAGAUAGGUACAAAACUGUAUUUAAGUAUGAUUACAAGAGCAGUUCAGUUUUCCUGUGGAAGGAGGACAGAAAAAUACGAACAGUGUAACGAAAUAGAGAUAGCAAGAAGACAAAUGAGAUUAACAGACUGGAUCACCAAGGAACAUGGACAUAGGAAUGCUUAAUGUUAUAACACAUGACUAGUUGCCUGGCUCUAGAGCAAUCUUCACAAUGUUGAGAGAGGUACUCAAUCACCUGCAUCUAAAAAACAUCCGACAUUUCAGAACAGCCUUCCCAGCAGCAACAGUGCAGAAAAAGAAAAAAAAGCAGAUUUGUUAAAAGUACUGUGAAAUUCCAAUGCUGGCACAUACUGUACUGCCUCUGUCAAGAACUGAAAUACAUCAUUUUAAGAUGCAGAAAAACCUAUACUUGAAUCUGGAUAUGCACAGACAUACUGCUGCUGGUAGCUGGUACUCAAGUCUGAGUCUCCAAAAACCCAAGUAACUGGAGAGACUAUUGUCAAUAGCAUGCACUACUUGUACAAAAGCUUAAGAUUUAAACCAACUCACUUGGUUAUUGGAGAGUGGUGAUGGGAAGUGAUGAGUGUGCAGAUUUUUCCCAGUGUUAACGUGGGUAAGUCGUAUGGCUUGCCCACAUUUCACAGGUGUCCCACGCUGGCAACUGUUGUCACUCUUCCCACGGAUCCGCCAGUAGCUGUUGGCAUCAUCUGAAGCUUCAACUCCUGUCACUGACUGCUGCCCACUUCCUGUUUGAAUAGAAUUAAAUGACACAAGACU